CACGUAGGCACCAAGCGUUGUCCGGAUUUAUUGGGCGUAAAGAGCUCGUAGGCGGUUGAGUAAGUCGGGUGUGAAAACUCUGGGCUUAACCCAGAGCCGCCACUCGAUACUGCUCUGACUUGAGUUCGGUAGGGGAGCAGGGAAUUCCUAGUGUAGCGGUGAAAUGCGCAGAUAUUAGGAGGAACACCGGUGGCGAAGGCGCUGCUCUGGGCCGAAACUGACGCUGAGGCGCGAAAGCCAGGGGAGCAAACGGG
RNAcentral lists this ribosomal RNA (254 nucleotides) under uncultured bacterium. RNAcentral describes it as "partial 16S ribosomal RNA". It matches the Rfam family "Bacterial small subunit ribosomal RNA", at positions 524 to 776 of the family's 1533-position model. The record is from RNAcentral.